AUCACAAUAAUCACAAUUCACUGAAUAUAUCCAAUCUUUAAUAUGUAACAUCGGCCGAUAACAAUAGAAAUUUGGUCAAAAUUCUGUUGUUUGUAACUAAGGAUGCUCAUAGGCGAUCUCUAACAAGUAAACAACACGAAAGCUACCGUCGUGUUCCAACUGUUACGAACGCGUUCACAGUUGAAAACUUGUCAAUCUCACCUGUAAAUAACUAUCGCUUAAUAGCUCUUACAUUCCGUGAAAUUCCCUUUAAAAUAAAGGGGGCAAAUUUCUAUCGCAUCAACCAAUGCCCAACACUAUUACUGCAAUCUUCACCACAUGGCUCCACCAUUCCUCUUCCUUCAACAUCCAUGACCAACAACCAGAAGGAGCGUGUUGUUCAAAAGCAG
This 389-nucleotide long non-coding RNA is filed under the name Mytilus galloprovincialis (Mediterranean mussel). Lineage: Eukaryota; Metazoa; Mollusca; Bivalvia; Mytilida; Mytilidae. The record is from RNAcentral.